GUUGAUUGAAGAAUUCACAAAAGCAUCCAUAUGAUUUACCGCCACAACAUAUAACCUAAACCUAGAUCAUUUUUAAGUGUUCCCAAGAAUAUUAAACUAUUUACAUCUGCAACUUGUUCAUAUAUAUGAAUAUUGCGUGAAUUUUAUUUAAUUCAAGAAAGGGAGGCUGCCUGAAAGAAUUGAAUUCAAUAAAAUGAAUGGGUGC
RNAcentral lists this long non-coding RNA (205 nucleotides) under Brassica napus (rape). RNAcentral's name for it is "long non-coding RNA (BNAP_LNC012554)". The record is from RNAcentral. Lineage: Eukaryota; Viridiplantae; Streptophyta; Magnoliopsida; Brassicales; Brassicaceae.